This 436-nucleotide long non-coding RNA is filed under the name Citrus maxima (pomelo). RNAcentral describes it as "long non-coding RNA (CMAX_LNC000949)". The record is from RNAcentral. Lineage: Eukaryota; Viridiplantae; Streptophyta; Magnoliopsida; Sapindales; Rutaceae.
CUGAAGGAGGAUCUUUACAACUCUAGAAUCACAGAUAGAAAAACACUAAAGCUUAGAGGUUUUAAUCUGUAUGGUGGAGUUGCUCUCUGUAAUCGGUAAUCAGCCAUUCUUCAUCAAUGAAGCUUCUGCCCUUGCUGGCGUUUUUCAGCCGUGGAUGUAGGCUCCAUUGGAACCGAACCACGUUAUUUUCUUGAGUGUGACAUUUCUUGUUUCUCUUUUUCUCUCUUUCUUUCUUCUUUUGCUCUCAUAAUUGUUGGUUCUGAGUUCGUGUGUUGAUCAUUCUUUCUUGGGGUGUUGGAUAUAUUGCAAACCAUACUGCCCUGUUUGCAUAACAAUCCUUAUUUUAUCAGUUUUCAGAUUUGUUUUGACUUCCUAAAGUAUGGUUUACUUAAUUAUGUAUUUUUGAAAAUGUGAUUAAUACGAAUUUGAAUGAGAC